UGCUGGUGAUGAAACUGCCUCACUCUGAGCACUGGGCCUUGCCUGGGGUAAGCCAGGGGCCAUAGCUGUCUGUCCCACUAUGCCUGAAUACAGCA
Small nucleolar RNA from Arvicanthis niloticus (Nile rat), 95 nucleotides. RefSeq annotates it as Z6 small nucleolar RNA. The record is from RefSeq and is a predicted model, not a curated record. NCBI's taxonomy places the organism in Eukaryota, Metazoa, Chordata, Mammalia, Rodentia, Muridae.